This 456-nucleotide ribosomal RNA is filed under the name uncultured bacterium. RNAcentral's name for it is "bacterial SSU rRNA". It matches the Rfam family "Bacterial small subunit ribosomal RNA", at positions 28 to 496 of the family's 1533-position model. The record is from RNAcentral.
GAUGAACGCUGGCGGCGUGCUUAACACAUGCAAGUCGAACGAUUGAAGCUGGAGCUUGCUCCGGCCGAUUUAGUGGCGGACGGGUGAGUAACGCGUGGGUAACCUGCCUCAUACAGGGGGAUAGCAGUUGGAAACGACUGGUAAAACCGCAUAAGCGCACGGUGUCGCAUGACACAGUGUGAAAACACUCCGGUGGUAUGAGAUGGACCCGCGUCUGAUUAGCUAGUUGGUGAGGUAACGGCCCACCAAGGCGACGAUCAGUAGCCGGCCUGAGAGGGUGAACGGCCACAUUGGGACUGAGACACGGCCCAAACUCCUACGGGAGGCAGCAGUGGGGAAUAUUGCACAAUGGGGGAAACCCUGAUGCAGCGACGCCGCGUGAGUGAUGAAGUAUUUCGGUAUGUAAAGCUCUAUCAGCAGGGAAGAUAAUGACGGUACCUGACUAAGAAGCACCGG